AGCGGGCUAGUCUACAACAAGACCUCUGAAUUCGGCUCAGAAAAUCGUGGUUUAAGUCCAUGGCCCUCUU
RNAcentral lists this transfer RNA (70 nucleotides) under Pethia gelius (golden barb). RNAcentral's name for it is "tRNA-Arg". The record is from RNAcentral. Lineage: Eukaryota; Metazoa; Chordata; Actinopteri; Cypriniformes; Cyprinidae.